RNAcentral lists this ribosomal RNA (465 nucleotides) under uncultured bacterium. RNAcentral describes it as "partial 16S ribosomal RNA". It matches the Rfam family "Bacterial small subunit ribosomal RNA", at positions 28 to 507 of the family's 1533-position model. The record is from RNAcentral.
GACGAACGCUGGCGGCGUGCUUAACACAUGCAAGUCGAACGGAAAGGCCCUGCUUGCAGGGUACUCGAGUGGCGAACGGGUGAGUAACACGUGGGUGAUCUGCCCUGCACUUCGGGAUAAGCUUGGGAAACUGGGUCUAAUACCGGAUAGGACCGCACUUUAGUGUGUGUGGUGGAAAGUUUUUUCGGUGUAGGAUGAGCUCGCGGCCUAUCAGCUUGUUGGUGGGGUAAUGGCCUACCAAGGCGGCGACGGGUAGCCGGCCUGAGAGGGUGUACGGCCACAUUGGGACUGAGAUACGGCCCAGACUCCUACGGGAGGCAGCAGUGGGGAAUAUUGCACAAUGGGCGCAAGCCUGAUGCAGCGACGCCGCGUGGGGGAUGAAGGCCUUCGGGUUGUAAACUCCUUUCGCUAGGGACGAAGCUUUUUGCGACGGUACCUAGAUAAGAAGCACCGGCUAACUACGUG